UACUGAGGUCUCAAGCGUUGUUCGGAUUCAUUGGGCGUAAAGGGUGCGUAGGCGGCGAGGUAAGUCGGAUGUGAAAUCCCGGGGCUCAACCCCGGAACUGCAUUCGAUACUGCCUUGCUCGAGUACUGGAGAGGAGACUGGAAUUUACGGUGUAGCAGUGAAAUGCGUAGAUAUCGUAAGGAAGACCAGUGGCGAAGGCGAGUCUCUGGACAGUUACUGACGCUGAGGCACGAAGGCCAGGGGAGCAAACGGG
Molecule: ribosomal RNA, 253 nt
Filed under: uncultured bacterium
Lineage: Bacteria
Description: partial 16S ribosomal RNA
Rfam family: Bacterial small subunit ribosomal RNA
Source: RNAcentral